CGGCACGGGUGAGUAACACGUAUCCAACCUGCCGUCUACUCUUGGCCAGCCUUCUGAAAGGAAGAUUAAUCCAGGAUGGCAUCAUGAGUUCACAUGUCCGCAUGAUUAAAGGUAUUUUCCGGUAGACGAUAGGGAUGCGUUCCAUUAGAUAGUAGGCGGGGUAACGGCCCACCUAGUCAACGAUGGAUAGGGGUUCUGAGAGGAAGGUCCCCCACAUUGGAACUGAGACACGGUCCAA
RNAcentral lists this ribosomal RNA (238 nucleotides) under uncultured bacterium. RNAcentral describes it as "partial 16S ribosomal RNA". It matches the Rfam family "Bacterial small subunit ribosomal RNA", at positions 100 to 334 of the family's 1533-position model. The record is from RNAcentral.